UCCAGGGUAGCCUAGUGGAAUCUGCCCGGUAAGCGGAACACUGUGGGUUCGAUUCCCAUCCCUGGAC
Non-coding RNA from Cordylochernes scorpioides, 67 nucleotides. The record is from the annotation of a GenBank genome assembly. Lineage: Eukaryota; Metazoa; Arthropoda; Arachnida; Pseudoscorpiones; Chernetidae.